GACGAACGCUGGCGGCGUGCUUAACACAUGCAAGUCGAACGAUGAAGCCUAGCUUGCUAGGUGGAUUAGUGGCGAACGGGUGAGUAAUACGUGAGUGACCUACCUUUGACUCUGGGAUAAGCCUGGGAAACUGGGUCUAAUACCGGAUACGACCAAUCUCCGCAUGGGGUGUUGGUGGAAAGCGUUAUGGAGUGGUUUUAGAUGGGCUCUCGGCCUAUCAGCUUGUUGGUGAGGUAAUGGCUUACCAAGGCGACGACGGGUAGCCGGCCUGAGAGGGUGACCGGCCACACUGGGACUGAGACACGGCCCAGACUCCUACGGGAGGCAGCAGUGGGGAAUAUUGCACAAUGGGCGCAAGCCUGAUGCAGCGACGCCGCGUGAGGGAUGACGGCCUUCGGGUUGUAAACCUCUGUUAGCAUCGAAGAAGCGAAAGUGACGGUAGGUGCAGAGAAAGCGCCGGCUAACUACGUG
This 471-nucleotide ribosomal RNA is filed under the name uncultured bacterium. Its description in RNAcentral is "partial 16S ribosomal RNA". It matches the Rfam family "Bacterial small subunit ribosomal RNA", at positions 28 to 507 of the family's 1533-position model. The record is from RNAcentral.